CGAUCGGCACAUGUCCUCGGACAUGGCCCGAUAUGAACCUUCCCGUGCUUUUUAGAACAUAGAUGGCACCAGUCAGGUGACUAUCGAAACGUAAUACGCCGCGAUGACUUCGGUCACGACGGUAUGGCGAGCUUUCGCCGUCCACGUUUCUCUUUCUUCAAGAAGACAAAAAACCGCGUCGACCGGUUCCCCGAAUGGGCCCGUAGCUCAGUUGGUUAGAGCACACGCUUGAUAAGCGUGGGGUCGGAAGUUCAAGUCUUCCCGGGCCCACCAUUUGCACCAGCAAAUGAAAUUUGCUGUAGCGAAUGAGGGUUGAGGGAUGAUGGAAUGUCAGGCGAUGCGGAUUGUUGCCGAACCUUGGGGUCUUGCCCCUGGGUGAUCGAGCUGGAGGGGCUGUAGCUCAGCUGGGAGAGCACCUGCUUUGCAAGCAGGGGGUCAGCGGUUCGAUCCCGCUCAGCUCCACCAAAUCGAUUGGUGUUGAAGCUGACGGCAUUUGUCUUUUGAAGAAAUAAAAGUUUUGCACUGGCUUCGAGCUGGUGCCUGUUCUGCAUACAUUGUGAAGAGAAGAUUGAUCUGGAGGCUUCCAGGUGUUUUGGGUUUUGCCCAAGGCGUCCGAGCCCAGUUCCUGUGAAACCAUGGAUGGCCUAGCCGGCCGGAUGUGGUGGAGGGAUUGGAGGUAGGUAGGAAGCUUGUCACUCUGGAUCGUUUGUUGUUCGUUGCCUUUGGGCAUCGUCUGAUGAACGAUCGGAUUACCGUUGCCUGACCGCGCGGUAUCGGAUCCAAUCUCGAGAAGCUGGUCUUAAGACAGGCUGCAAGCGAGCUGCUCGGCGUAGCUCCAAUAAAGCAGACCUGUCGAACACGUCGAUGGCAUCAUGAAAUGAUCCGGUUGUAAAAGGUAACCGGAUUUUUGGACUGGCCGCACGGCAAUCGCAAGGUUGUCCGGAUGGUCGCACGUCCAAAUAUGGAUGAGCAUUGGCAAUGAGAACGAUUAAGUGUCGUAAGGGCAUUUGGUGGAUGCCUUGGCAUGCACAGGCGAUGAAGGACGUGAUACGCUGCGAAAAGCCGUGGGGAGCUG
RNAcentral lists this unclassified non-coding RNA (1075 nucleotides) under Rhizobium sp. CCBAU 83440. Its description in RNAcentral is "partial contains 16S ribosomal RNA, 16S-23S ribosomal RNA intergenic spacer, and 23S ribosomal RNA". The stretch from base 197 to 270 matches the Rfam family "tRNA". Lineage: Bacteria; Pseudomonadati; Pseudomonadota; Alphaproteobacteria; Hyphomicrobiales; Rhizobiaceae. The record is from RNAcentral.